UUACGUUUGCCGUCUCUGAAUUUUUUUUUGGUUUUU
RNAcentral lists this small RNA (36 nucleotides) under Arabidopsis thaliana (thale cress). RNAcentral's name for it is "ATSL121490". Lineage: Eukaryota; Viridiplantae; Streptophyta; Magnoliopsida; Brassicales; Brassicaceae. The record is from RNAcentral.